Long non-coding RNA from Thalassophryne amazonica, 183 nucleotides. RefSeq lists it as uncharacterized. Lineage: Eukaryota; Metazoa; Chordata; Actinopteri; Batrachoidiformes; Batrachoididae. The record is from RefSeq and is a predicted model, not a curated record. The transcript is spliced from 4 exons.
AGCGCAGUCUCGUUUGAACCCCUGUGUGAUAUUACGGGAUUUGACCAUUUCCAGGGACAGCCUGCCAUUGCACAACACAAACACAGCAUCACUUCACACAGAAAAAUGGUGUACUGUUUUGUUUUUGGCUGCAAUCACCGAAGCAGUCACGAAAACCGUGCUCUUCUCUCUCGUUGUACAACC